Molecule: ribosomal RNA, 372 nt
Filed under: uncultured bacterium
Lineage: Bacteria
Description: partial 16S ribosomal RNA
Rfam family: Bacterial small subunit ribosomal RNA
Source: RNAcentral
CCUACGGGAGACAGCAGUGGGGAAUAUUGCGCAAUGGGGGCAACCCUGACGCAGCAACGCCGCGUGAUUGAAGAAGGCCUUCGGGUUGUAAAGAUCUUUAAUCGGGGACGAAUUUUGACGGUACCCGAAGAAUAAGCUCCGGCUAACUACGUGCCAGCAGCCGCGGUAAUACGUAGGGAGCAAGCGUUAUCCGGAUUUACUGGGUGUAAAGGGCGGGUAGGCGGGGAUGCAAGCCAGGAGUGAAAUCUGGGGGCUUAACCCCCAAACUGCUUUUGGAACUGGGUGUCUUGAGUGAUGGAGAGGCAGGAGGAAUUCCCAGGGGAGGCGGGGAAUGCGGAGAUAUUGGGAGGAACACCAGUGGCGAAGGCGGCC